Non-coding RNA from Coffea arabica (coffee), 1677 nucleotides. The record is from RefSeq and is a predicted model, not a curated record. Lineage: Eukaryota; Viridiplantae; Streptophyta; Magnoliopsida; Gentianales; Rubiaceae.
UAAAAUGCUACCAGAUGCUCUAUAUUACGAGAGCAAUUAGAGGUGAACAAAAAUUAUCCAAAAAAAAAGGAGAAAGAAAGUGGAGUACAUGCCAUAACACCCUUUUCCACCCACAAUUAUAAGUAUCGUACGCGUGAAUUGAAUGGUAGUAGUACUUAGCUAUUAGCAUAUACCAAAGAUUUUCCUUUGCCAUUUCUAAAACUAGGAAAACUCCGAGCAAAGCCAGCUACCAACAGGAUACUCGAUUCUUUUCAUGGGUUCUGUAUCAAGGCAAAACCAGCUUCCUGUUCUAGACUUCACUGGGCAAACCUUGAAUCCCAGUUCUACUCGUUGGCUCUCGACACGGGAAGAAGUUGUUUGAGCCCUGGAAGAGUAUGGCUGUUUCAUAGCGAACUACGGUAAGGUUUCCUUGGAACUUCACCAGGCUAUCUUUCGUGCAUCCCUGGAGUUGUUUGAUCUCCCGACGGAAACCAAAGUCCUCGACACUUUCUGAUUCACCUUCUCAUGGCUAGAUCGGACACCGUAGAAUUCUUUUGCUCGAAGCUUUGGGCAUCGAAAAUGGCACAACUUUUGAUGGAGUUCAGAAAUUCACCAACGUCUUAUGGCGCAAUGGAAACAAUCAUUUUAGUGCUUUUCAGGGUUAUGAUUUCUUGAAUUGAACAGUGACACAACACUCUCGUACUCAAAGCUUGUUGCUGAACUAUAUCAUGUGGUGAUGAGGAUGGUGGCAGAGACUUACGGUGUAGAGAAAGAUUGUGAAUCACUUCUCGGAUCCAUUUACUACCUUUUUAGGCUAAUCAAUUACAGGGGGCCCCGAGAAGAUGAAAGCAAUGUCGGUCUUUUCCAUCACACUGACCGGACCUUCAGGUCCAGUCUUCAUCAAGCACAAGUAAAUGGUCUAGAGAUCAAGACCAAGAAUGGCGGAUAGAUGCUUAUUGAUUCCUUAUCUCCUUCUUCUUUCAUUGUCAUGGCGGGGGAUGUAUGUAUGGCAUGGACUAAUGGCAGGAUCGAACCUCCACUUCCUCGGGUAAAAAUUCAGGGAGUGAAGAAAGAUAUUCCCUCAGCCUAUUUGCAUUCACAAGGGACGUGAUGGUUCAAGUACUAGAAAAGCUAGUUGAUGAUGAGCAUCCGUUGCAGCACAAGCCAUUCGAUCCCUACAAGUAUCUUCUAUUCUGCUUGACUAAGGAGGGGCAGAAAUCCAAGUGUCGAAUUAAAUCCUACUGUGGAGUCUUUUUUUUUUUUUUUUUUUUUUGUCAAAACCUACUGUGGAGUCUGAUGAUCCUAAUUACAAGUAUUUUGUUGCAAAGAAUCCAAUGGAUGUGCUUUGACUAUGAAUUUCUAUGUCAUUUUCUAGAAUUAUGAUGUUAGUUUGUGGUGCAGCGAGUGGUGAGUGGAAAAUGAAAAUAAAGCCCUUUGGUUGGAUUGAAACUUGAAAUUUGAACGUUGAAUACUGAGUAGAGUGUGGACCAAGGGUGUGUUUGAAUGGACUUUUAUAAUUUUCUGGUGUUCCUCAUGGUCCUUUAUUAUUAUUUUUUUUGUCAAUUGUCGCUUAUCUAUCUUAUACCUACUCUUAUUCUUAUUUUAGCCUAUUCUAGGGGAAGUCCAAUCGAAUCUACAGGAAAAUCGACAAAAAUUCAACCAUCAUCAGAUCAAACGGGUACACUACAAAUCCGUAUG